RNAcentral lists this ribosomal RNA (292 nucleotides) under uncultured bacterium. RNAcentral describes it as "partial 16S ribosomal RNA". It matches the Rfam family "Bacterial small subunit ribosomal RNA", at positions 505 to 796 of the family's 1533-position model. The record is from RNAcentral.
GUGCCAGCAGCCGCGGUAAUACGUAGGUGGCAAGCGUUGUCCGGAUUUAUUGGGCGUAAAGCGCACGCAGGCGGUUGGCUAAGUCCGAUGUGAAAUCUCUCGGCUUAACUGGGAGGAGUCAUCGGAUACUGGCCGGCUUGAGGAAGGUAGAGGAGAGUAGAAUUCCCGGUGUAGUGGUGGAAUGCGUAGAUAUCGGGAGGAAUACCAGUGGCGAAGGCGGCUCUCUGGGCCUUUCCUGACGCUGAGGUGCGAAAGCGUGGGGAGCGAACCGGAUUAGAAACCCUCGUAGUCC